RNAcentral lists this long non-coding RNA (259 nucleotides) under Chinchilla lanigera (long-tailed chinchilla). Its description in RNAcentral is "lncRNA (ENSCLAG00000022522.1)". The record is from RNAcentral. Lineage: Eukaryota; Metazoa; Chordata; Mammalia; Rodentia; Chinchillidae.
GGCUGUUGGUGCAUUCUGUGCCCACAUGUAGGAGGGGAGCUUCGUCUUUCCCAGACCUGAGCCAUCAUUCAGGAUUUGGAAGAUGUGGGCACUUGGCAGCCUGGUGGAGAGAGCCCUUGUACACCCCACCCACGGUGUUCCUUCCCCACGGCGGCCUGCAGUGGCUGGAGCAGACCUGGCAGCUGUACUAAAGUCUGCAGAGCUGCUGUGCCUCAGUGUCACACUGAUUCCAUGGAGAGAGAGAGCAAUACAGAUAUGA